CUCAAUAAAACUUUUCCUGGGCUGGAUAGCAAAGGGCACCUUUGGUUACCUGAAUGGACAGUUUUGGCCAGAAAUGGUGAGAAGAAAAAGCAUGAAGAAGCCGCGAAGUGUGGGGGAGAAAAAGGUGGAAGCGAAGAAACAGCUCCCGGAGCAAACUGUACAAAAACCUCGCCAAGAGUGUCGGGAGGCAGGACCGUUAUUCCUGCAGAGCAGGAGAGAGACGAGAGACCCUGAAACACGCGCCACCUAUCUUUGUGGGGAGGGAUAAUUGAAGCGCCCUGAGCGUACCAGAGCCAGAAAAAAAAAAAUGCUACAUGGGAGCUGCAUCUUAGGGCAUGUGUAUUAGGGUGUGUGCAUGAUGAAUUUCUGGACUGGAUCCCAAUAUUAAAAAGUAGUUUGGCAUUUUAAUAAAGGGUCUCUAAGUAAAUUAACAUAGAA
This 438-nucleotide antisense RNA is filed under the name Pongo abelii (Sumatran orangutan). The stretch from base 1 to 61 matches the Rfam family "ZEB2 antisense RNA 1 conserved region 2". Lineage: Eukaryota; Metazoa; Chordata; Mammalia; Primates; Hominidae. The record is from RNAcentral.